Molecule: small RNA, 3439 nt
Filed under: Pongo abelii (Sumatran orangutan)
Lineage: Eukaryota; Metazoa; Chordata; Mammalia; Primates; Hominidae
Description: retained intron
Source: RNAcentral
AUUUCAUUUUGCCAAAAGACACAAUAUUCACUUUCUGGUCUUCUCUCACUCUCCAUGUUCUCCUGAGUGCUCAUUUUGUAAAUGCCAGUUAUGACCCAUGCUGGAUAGUUCUCUGGUUGUGGUCGAAGCUUCUGUAGGUAUGUCAGCUUGCCUUAUGUUACUUCAAAGCCUGCGCUCAACUGUUCUUGAAGAGGAAUUUCCCUUCCUUUAAAGGCAUCAUCUUUCCAUUUUGGAGAGAACAGUAGAAUGCCACUUCUAAGCGUGCUAUGUCACCGUACAAUCUUCCUCUUAGAUGGCAGAGAUGCAUGGGAUGUGAGCAGGAUUGUUUUAUAGCUACUGCUAAUUAGAUCUAGAGCAUUUGGAGGGCGGUUCCAUUUGGAACAACCCUCUAUACUUUGGUGUCUAGUUUUUUUCCUAGAAGAUUUAUUCUAUUUUUUAAGCUGAGUACAAUUUUUGCUUAAAAUGUUCUAUUCUAUUAUAAUGGCUAUGCCAAUUCAGAAAGCAAAACAAAAUUUGUUUGGACAAAACAGAAAUUUUUCCAAUGGCCAUGUAGUUUGUGAAAAAAAGCAGCAGCUGGAGUUGGAUUCUAUUGUAGAAGAAACCAUAACAGGAGAUUAUGCCUUAAUCAUAAAUGGCCACAGUUUGGCUCAUGCCCUAGAAAGUGAUGUGAAGAAUGAUCUCCUAGAACUUGCUUGCAUGUGUAAGACUGUGGUUUGCUGCAGGGUCACUCCACUCCAGAAAGCCCAAGUGGUAGAGCUGGUGAAGAAGUACAGAAAUGCUGUUACUUUGGCCAUUGGUGAUGGAGCCAAUGAUGUCAGCAUGAUUAAAAGUGCUCACAUUGGUGUUGGCAUCAGCGGCCAGGAAGGAUUACAAGCAGUCUUAGCCAGCGACUAUUCAUUUGCACAGUUUAGAUAUCUCCAGAGGCUUCUCCUUGUUCAUGGAAGGUGGUCUUAUUUCCGAAUGUGCAAAUUCUUAUGCUAUUUCUUCUAUAAGAAUUUUGCGUUCACACUUGUGCAUUUCUGGUUUGGUUUCUUCUGUGGUUUCUCAGCCCAGGUUGGUAAAAAGCAUGCUUUUUUUUUUUUUUUUUUUUGUAUGAUAUUGCAAAUGACUUUUCUUCAUAGCUCUUUACUAUAAAUUAAGCGCAUUUUUUAAUGGCUGAUUCAAGUAACAGUAUUACAAUUAUGUAAUUGAUAGUUGACUUGAGUUUUGCACCCAAGAAGAAUAUGUAUCUAGCUGGAAUUUUAUUUAUUUAUUUUCUUAUGUAGAUAGUCAACCAGUGAGUACUCCUUCCGUGCAUACUUAAGUUUUUGUUGAAAUGUUUUUGGUAUGAUGACAGGUAAGCUUGUUGUAGAGAUUUAAUUUAGAACAGAAGUCUGCAAAUCACUAAUAAGAAAUGUUGAGGUAUCUUUACUGGGAAGAUGGUUUCUUGUCCAACACACUAAAUGUAUCUGGGCUGUUUGGUACUCUGACAUCAAAGUUGUUUAGACAGCAAUUCAUCAGCUAAAAGUUGAUCUAUAGAUAAUGCUGGUAGGAAGAAAGAAAAAUUAGCAAAUUUAUAAAUUAGGAUUCUAUUUUUGUAUCACUUCAUAUACAUUAAAGGAUAGUUAUUUAACCACACAUCUUCAAUAUCAGAAAAGUUUUAACCCAAUGAAUCAACUGUAAAAUGUAAUGUCUAUAUCAUUUAAAUAUACUUAUUAAUUUAAAAAAUUUUUUACCAAAAACUUAAAUGUAGAUAUGGCAUUGACAUUUUGAACAACAAUACAAGAAAAAGAUUGUCCUUGAAAAUGAAAUGGUAACCAUAACUCUCAGAGAUUUAUUCAAUUGUUCUUCCCUUCUUUGGGUUUAAUCAAUGACACUGGAUUCAACGAUAUGCAUGAAGGUGAUUUUUAAAAAAUCAUUUUAUUCAAAAAGACUGAGUAUAAAUGAAAUCUUUGCAUCUUCUUCUUACAUGUGCUAAGGGAGAUUAGUGAAUUCCUUUUUACAAUGAAAAUACAUUUUCAACAUUUUCCCCUUUUUCUGGGAAGUUGAGAUUUCUUAAAGUGAGGCACACCUGUUCCCAUUCCUAAUUUUCUCUUUUUAGGAUAACAUGCCCCAAACUAAGAGUAGAUUAUGUUGACAUUUUUGCCUUUUUUUGUUAAUCUCUUGACAGUUGAAGUAAAGCAGAGUCUUGAUUUUAGCUACUCAGAAGCAGAAGUUAUCUUAGUGCUACUUCAAAGUAGGCAUGGGGCUGGGGAUAUUUACGUGCUCAUAAUUCCUCCUUUGUCCAACAAAGACAAGCAUCGGAAUGUGGCCUGUGGCUCCCUAGUCUGUUGAUUUUCCUUCCAAAUAAGAACAAAGCAAGACCAUCUGCUAACGGGUGUUUCUAAGAGAUCUAAUUUUCAUAUUCCAAAGGCUUAAGGCUGAAGAAUCUCAAGACUAUGAAGGGACAAACCCCAUUUAAACCUCUUAGAACACAGAAGAGUAGUCAGUGAUUUGUAUUUGCAGACACACUAAGCUUGAAUAGGCAACUGUUCCACUAAGUUGUCUGUUAAAACUGUGAAGUUGAAACUAACGUUCAAUGACUUCUAACCUCUACAUUUAGGUUAUUUUCUGGGUUCUGAUAAAAUUGGUCAGAGCCAAAUGUGAAGCAACUAGAAUUUUUAUUCUUUCACUGGUAUUUGCAUUUUAAAAGAGAACAGCAAGGGAGAACAAUAAUUGCCCCAAAGACAUGAGCAGCUUGAUGGUUGAACCCAGCUGUAAGGCACACCACCUGUCUGUGAUUAGGUUUCUGAAAUGUUUGAUUUAACUAACAUGUUUCUUUUCUGUGUCCCUUUCUUUCCCUUUUGUUUUUUUACCCUGAAAGCUCUAGUUAAUUGCACAAUCUUCAUUUUGAAUCCAUUGUUAGUCCCAGUUGACCAUCUGUGUUCUUUCCUAAGCCAGUGAAUUGGGUUGGGCCAGUGGUUCUCAAGCUUUAGCGUGCAUGGGAAUCACCUGGAGGGCUGGUUAAAGCACUGCCCACUGGGCUCUAGCCCCUAGAACUGUACUUUGAGAACCACUGGGCUAGAAAACCUAGAAGAAUAUCCCAAGUUCUGCUUCCUUGAACCCAGACCAGAGUAAAGUCCAAUCUGCUGACUUUUUGUUUUGUCAACAUUAGAUCCUAUUCAUCUUUUCUAAAGCAGAGGGGCCAGUUAAGCCAACAGCUGAUCUCCCCUAGUUGAAUUUUUCCAGAGGAUUUAAAAUCCUUUCAGCCCUCUUGUCAGACCACUGUCCCUGAAGCAUAUUUUACCUGCACUAAGACAGGGCCAGGUGGAAAACGGAUGUCUGUUCAGGGUACAGGAUUUCUUUCCCCAGUUUAGCCAGUCUAUUAUCUCUUACCUAGCUUAACCAUUAGCUCCUUGAGGAAAAGAAGUACAUCUAACUCAUCAAUACAUCUGUAAUAAAAUCUUGAAUGUUACCUGCC